RNAcentral lists this unclassified non-coding RNA (253 nucleotides) under uncultured Sporolactobacillaceae bacterium. RNAcentral describes it as "contains 16S-23S intergenic spacer region". It matches the Rfam family "Bacterial small subunit ribosomal RNA", at positions 524 to 776 of the family's 1533-position model. The record is from RNAcentral. Lineage: Bacteria; Bacillati; Bacillota; Bacilli; Caryophanales; Sporolactobacillaceae.
UACGUAGGGGGCAAGCGUUGUCCGGAAUUAUUGGGCGUAAAGGGCACGCAGGCGGUCUCUUAAGUCUGAUGUGAAAGCCCACGGCUCAACCGUGGAGGGUCAUUGGAAACUGGGGGACUUGAGUGUAGGAGAGGAAAGUGGAAUUCCACGUGUAGCGGUGAAAUGCGUAGAGAUGUGGAGGAACACCAGUGGCGAAGGCGACUUUCUGGCCUAUAACUGACGCUGAGGUGCGAAAGCGUGGGGAGCGAACAGG